CUGAAAAUGACUUUGCAUGAUAUGAAAUGAUUGAAAUGAAGAUCAAGGCCCCACAAUUAGAAAUUUCCUCCUGCUUUUGGCUAUUAAGCUGCUUUUCCUGCAGUACAUGGUAGCACUUCUUAACCCAUCAAUGAACCUGAGAGAUUAUUUUAGGGUAGCGAUUUAUUUUUUUGUGUCAGGGAAGAGUUAUGUAACUGAGGGACUAUUUUGUGGGCUUCUCUGUUAAGUGAUAUGGUUGGUGGGGUGGCCACUUAUCAGAUCCUUCCUGCCUCAUGACUGGGUUUUGCUUCAAGUCUUUUCAAGCACAUGGCUCUUGCUUUAAGUCUUCUCAAGAACAUGAUAUGGAAAUUCAUUUUCCAGGAACAAUAGGCUAGGUUAUAUCUUUUGCAAAUCAGUGAUGGAGCCUUGGGAACAGUUACAAAGGGAGGUGGAAGUGAUGUUGACCCAAAUGUCUAAAAGCAAUAAAGCAUGAGAAGAGGAAAAGCUAAGUGGAAUGGAGAAUUACUCACAUGGUGUUUCCAUACCUGUACUGUACUGAGUCAUGCAUGAUUGAAUUAUUCCGGCUGGACAAACCCAUUAUACAGGAAGAGUCCCUUCAUUUCUUUGAUUGGCCUUUGCCUGUAGGCCAAUGAUAACAACACAUAUCUGGGGACCCUCCCACUUGCAGAGCCACUAAAGAUUGGACACCUUCGCCGGCCAAGGUCAAUUGGCAUCUCUCUUGUCCGAAUCUUAUGGGCCCUGAUCAUCACAUGUCACAGUUGUUGAUUAUUCAAACAACUGAAACAAGUAUCCUGCAAAUUUGUUGCUUAAUCAUAUAUGUCUGACAUGUUCGCAUGAUGAAUCAGAGCACAUAUACACAAACAAAAAGCUUGUAUCAGCACUUAGUAACUAGAAGGCCAAGCUGUUUAUUGGUACUUUUGCUGCUGAAAACUACCUAAUUAGCUCCCUGCAUAAUUGAUUAAACCAAGAUGUGUUGCAUCUUUGAUUGGCCAGAUACCCAAGUUGUCAUUUGCGGUUAUUGUAUUCAACCAUCUCUUGAGUUCGUUAUUUGCUAUCUGUAUCAGUUAUCAUCCUGGAACCAGGGGUGUUUAACAGCAUAUGCCUAAAUAGUCCCUGAACCAGGUGAGUUCAGCCAAAUUUAAGGCAACUAUGAAAUCUGGAAUGAAGAGGCGACAGAGUUUUUCAGCCAGUGAGGCAAGGUGUUUUCAAGAGAAAGAAUCAUAUCCAAUGGAUUUUUGGAGGAUCAGUAUGAUCAACUUAGAUGUAGCAUUACCUGGACGAAUUAUACACCAAGUAGAUGAAAGAAACAUGGUUGUUGGUCAAACCCAACCAACAACCUGUUAUUAUUAUCCAUUACCCUGGAAUCCAACUGCUAUAGUAUUUUUCAGAAUCCUCAUUCUCCAAUUGGCCUUCUAAAUAUCCUAAUCUAAUAAGAUAUAUUUGUACUUAUCUAUCAGGCUCCUUCAUUUGCAUGUCAGGAAUGUGAACUUAUUGGCUGGAGAUAACAUUUUUCUCUUGUUGUUUCCAGAACAGUAAGGUACAACUACAAUCCAAUAACAUCAGUGGUAUAUCUUUAGUA
Corylus avellana is the source of this 1579-nucleotide long non-coding RNA. RefSeq lists it as uncharacterized. The record is from RefSeq and is a predicted model, not a curated record. NCBI's taxonomy places the organism in Eukaryota, Viridiplantae, Streptophyta, Magnoliopsida, Fagales, Betulaceae.